Molecule: ribosomal RNA, 252 nt
Filed under: uncultured bacterium
Lineage: Bacteria
Description: partial 16S ribosomal RNA
Rfam family: Bacterial small subunit ribosomal RNA
Source: RNAcentral
UACGAAGGGGGCUAGCGUUGUUCGGAUUUACUGGGCGUAAAGCGCACGUAGGCGGAUCGUUAAGUCAGGGGUGAAAUCCCGAGGCUCAACCUCGGAACUGCCUUUGAUACUGGAAAUCUUGAGUCUGGGAGAGGUGAGUGGAACUGCGAGUGUAGAGGUGAAAUUCGUAGAUAUUCGCAAGAACACCGGUGGCGAAGGCGGCUCACUGGCCCGGAACUGACGCUGAGGCACGAAAGCGUGGGAGCAAACAGG